UACGUAGGGACCGAGCGUUGUCCGGAAUCAUUGGGCGUAAAGAGCGUGUAGGCGGCCACUUAAGUCCUGCGUGAAAUCUUGCGGCUCAACCGCAAGCGGUCGUGGGAAACUGGGUGGCUAGAGUGCGGGAGAGGGAUGCAGAAUUCCAGGUGUAGCGGUGAAAUGCGUAGAUAUCAGGAGGAACACCUGUGGUGUAGACGGCUUUCUGGACCAUAGCUGACGCUGAGACACGAAAGCGUGGGUAGCAAACAGG
RNAcentral lists this ribosomal RNA (253 nucleotides) under uncultured bacterium. RNAcentral's name for it is "partial 16S ribosomal RNA". It matches the Rfam family "Bacterial small subunit ribosomal RNA", at positions 524 to 776 of the family's 1533-position model. The record is from RNAcentral.